GAAGCAGAGGGGACGAUGAGGUGCGGAGGCGUUGGCAGUUGACUUUUGCUGAUGGAGCCUCUCUGAAGGGCAAAUUCAAAGUACAGCUGGGUGCUGCAGCACUGGAGUGCGAACUUGUGGCUGUGGUUAUGAAGGAGCCUCGUCAGCUAUGCCUUUAGCCCCUGGUGAAGCAGUGCCAGUCACACUUUGCCAGUCAAACGGAGAGGCAGCAGUAGUAAGACCAGACCAAAUCAAACCAAACCAAGCAAACCACGGGGAAUGGAGACACAGAGUUUCAUUCUGUCACCCAGGCUGGAGUGCAGAUGCAGUGGCAUGAUGAUAGUGCACUACAACUUGGAACUCCUGGGCUCAAGCCAUCUUCCCUCCACUGCCUCCAAGUAGCUGGGGACUACAGAUUAUUGCCUGCUCCUCCAAGCCCUUCACUGUAGAAUGGAAGCCUGUGAUUUUCCUGGCAUCAUGCAUGACUGAGAAGGUCAGUGUGGCUAAUUCUGAGCUUCAACAUCAGGAAACCCGUAGUUCUUCACACUGAGCCGCCUCCUGCAGCACAGUCAUCCUUGGUAAUAAAGCUGAUAUUUUAAUCAAUA
RNAcentral lists this long non-coding RNA (584 nucleotides) under Homo sapiens (human). Its description in RNAcentral is "non-protein coding lnc-PCED1B-5:3". The record is from RNAcentral. Lineage: Eukaryota; Metazoa; Chordata; Mammalia; Primates; Hominidae.